AAUCAACGCUGGCGGCGCGCUUAACACAUGCAAGUCGAACGAGAAAGGGGAGCAAUCCCUGAGUACAGUGGCGUACGGGUGAGUAACACGUGGAUGAUCUACCUCUUAGUGGGGAAUACCUCUGGGAAACCGGAGACAAUACCGCAUAAGCCUGUGAGGGGAAAGCAGCAAUGCGCUGAGAGAGGAGUCCGCGGCCGAUUAGCUAGUUGGUAGGGUAAAGGCCUACCAAGGCAAAGAUCGGUAGCCGGCCUGAGAGGGCACACGGCCACACUGGCACUGAAACACGGGCCAGACUCCUACGGGAGGCAGCAGUGGGGAAUCUUGCACAAUGGGGGAAACCCUGAUGCAGCGACGCCGCGUGAGCGAUGAAGCCCUUCGGGGUGUAAAGCUCUUUCGACGGGAACGAUGAUGACGGUACCCGGAGAAGAAGCUGCGGCUAACUACGUGCCAGCAGCCGCGGUAAGUCUCGCGUGA
This 474-nucleotide ribosomal RNA is filed under the name uncultured bacterium. RNAcentral's name for it is "bacterial SSU rRNA". It matches the Rfam family "Bacterial small subunit ribosomal RNA", at positions 29 to 534 of the family's 1533-position model. The record is from RNAcentral.